Molecule: ribosomal RNA, 446 nt
Filed under: Lamoha murotoensis
Lineage: Eukaryota; Metazoa; Arthropoda; Malacostraca; Decapoda; Homolidae
Description: partial 12S small subunit ribosomal RNA
Source: RNAcentral
AAAGGUUAAAUUGGUUUAUUACAAACAAAAAUUUUUGGUGAAGCUAAGAAGUCUUUGGUUUAAACUAGGAUUAGAUACCCUAUUAUACUUAGAUAAAAAAUAAGAAGUUAAGUAGUAAAAGUUAUUUUCUUUAAAUUAAGAGAAUUUGGCGGUUAUUCAGUCUAGUUAGAGGAACCUGUUUUUUAAACGAUAAGCCACGAAGUAUCUUACUUAAGCUUGUAUACCGUCAUUAUUAGAUGAUUUUUAUAGAAUAAAUUAUUUAAGUUUAAUUAAAUUAGUUUAGUAUAUUAGAUCAAGGUGCAGCUUAUGUAUAAGUAAAAAUGGGUUACAAUAAAUUUUAUUUAUAAUGGAUUUAUUUGUAAUGAAGGAGGAUUUAAUUGUAAUAAGAGUUUAAUAAGUUUUUAUGAUAUUAGUUCUGAAUUAUGUACAUAUCGCCCGUCGCUUUC